This 282-nucleotide long non-coding RNA is filed under the name Hordeum vulgare. RNAcentral's name for it is "long non-coding RNA (HVUL_LNC009151)". Lineage: Eukaryota; Viridiplantae; Streptophyta; Magnoliopsida; Poales; Poaceae. The record is from RNAcentral.
UUCUUCUUCUUCUUCUCUUCUUCUUCUUAUUCUUAUUCUUAUUCUUAUUCUUAUUCUUAUUCUUAUUCUUCUUCCUUCUUUUCAUUUUUCCUCUUCUUCUUCCUUCUUUUCCUUUUUCCUCUUCUUUAUUCUUCUCCUCUCUCCUCUUUUUCUUCUUCUACAUCUACUUCUUCUUCUUCUUCUUCUUCUUCUUCUUCUCACCCUCCCCCUUCUCCUCCUCCUCAUCUUCUUCUUCUUCUUCUUUCCUUAUCUGCUUAUUCUUAUUUUAUUUAUUCAUCUUUU